AUUGAACGCUGGCGGCAGGCCUAACACAUGCAAGUCGAGCGGAGCUGCGGACGGGUGAGUAAUGCCUAGGAAUCUGCCUGGUAGUGGGGGAUAACGUCCGGCAUCGGGCGCUAAUACCGCAUACUAUCAGAUGAGCCUAGGUCGGAUUAGCUAGUUGGUGGGGUAAAGGCCUACCAAGGCGAAGAUCCCUAGCUGGUCUGAGAGGAUGACCAGCCACACGGGAACUGAGACACGGUCCAGACUCCUACGGGAGGAAGCAGUGGGGAAUAUUGCACAAUGGGCGCAAGCCUGAUGCAGCCAUGCCGCGUGUAUGAAGAAGGCCUUCGGGUUGUAAAGUACUUUCAGCGGGGAGGCGUUACCCGCAGAAGAAGCACCGGCUAACUCCGUGCCAUCAGCCGCGGUAAUUC
This 407-nucleotide ribosomal RNA is filed under the name uncultured bacterium. RNAcentral describes it as "partial 16S ribosomal RNA". It matches the Rfam family "Bacterial small subunit ribosomal RNA", at positions 30 to 526 of the family's 1533-position model. The record is from RNAcentral.